UACAGAGGGUGCGAGCGUUAAUCGGAAUUACUGGGCGUAAAGCGUGCGUAGACGGUAGCGUAAGUCAGAUGUGAAAGCCCCGGGCUCAACCUGGGAACUGCAUUUGAGACUGCUCUGCUCGGGUGCGGAAGAGGGAAGCGGAAUUUCCGGUGUAGCGGUGAAAUGCGUAGAUAUCGGAAGGAACACCAGUGGCGAAAGCGGCUCACUGGACCACAACUGACGCUGAUGCGCGAAAGCUAGGGGAGCAAACAGG
Molecule: ribosomal RNA, 253 nt
Filed under: uncultured bacterium
Lineage: Bacteria
Description: partial 16S ribosomal RNA
Rfam family: Bacterial small subunit ribosomal RNA
Source: RNAcentral